RNAcentral lists this long non-coding RNA (321 nucleotides) under Trifolium pratense (red clover). RNAcentral's name for it is "long non-coding RNA (TPRA_LNC002129)". The record is from RNAcentral. Lineage: Eukaryota; Viridiplantae; Streptophyta; Magnoliopsida; Fabales; Fabaceae.
CUGUUCCGGUGAGGGGGGGGUUGUAUACAUGCAGGCACUCUAAUGCUCAAGUCAGUGAUUUGGGUGAAGCAAGGUUUUCAGUAAGUAAGAAUACGUACCUGACUCCACUACGAGAGUGGAGUAUAUAUUGAUGGAUAUUUUCGCAAGUGCACGACUUAAUCGUUCAAGUAGUAAUUCAAGAUAUCGUUCCCACGAGGAUUGUGUCAAUUCACGCAAUAGCAAUCGUAUCUAAACACUUAUAAAACUGUAAACACAUAAUUUGGGGGUAGUUUUAGCAAAACUAUUUCGAAAGUUGUUCAAAGAUUAAAGAAACGAUUGGAA